AUUUAGUUUCCUUAAAACACGCACACACACACACACACACACACACAAAACCCUGUGACUGCAGUGUUAUAUUACUAUGCUAUCUUUAGCUGAUGCUAUUCAUUGAGGCUGGAAAAAUACAAGCCAGUGCAUGCAUUAAUACUUAGUUAGACCACAGAGAGCUGGCAUUCACUCAAGUGCUAAACAGGACACGAGGGUCUGAUUUGAAGCCCCUUGUGGAAGGGCGUUUUCUGUCCUGUGGUGUGCAUUCUCUACCAAAUCGAGCAUGAGAUCUUUUGCACGACGUGCAAUUUGCAUCCACCUUCCCUUCUGACUCACGUUGGCAGAUAAACUGUCCCCAGACCCUGCCACACAUGGAAGAGACAGCUCAGGCCAAAUACAGGCAUGAUUUCUUUGCCAAGUGAAUCCACGGAUGACCCUGCAGCAUACCUGGAGCAUGUGGGCGCUGAUCUGGUGAGAAUGCCAUCAAAACCAUGGGGCACAGGAGAGACCACGUGAAAGAGGUCAUUUGAGAAAUUUUGAAACUCUCUCUAUUGUGAAAAAUGCCUCUGCUUAGAGGUUACUGGAAAGUUGCUCCUCUGAUCCAUGUCACUGCAGCAAUGGUAGCUGUGGUCACAAAAUGGGUUGAGGAGGCCCAUACCACCAAGGUCUAAGAGAAUCAGAGGGCCAAUGGCAACCUGGGCAUGGCUGCAAGUUCACCCCAUUUCCUCUGAGCAGUGCUGAGGGGCACCCAAAGCAUCUCCCAGAGGGAACUGUCCACUCCGCCCCUUCCUCUUCAGAGAUGUUGGGUUUGCAUCUCUUUGAGCAGAAAGGUUGUCACCCCAGCCACUCUCUUUUGGACCUUGGUGCUGCAGCUGGUGCCACACCACUUCACCAGCCUGAUUUCAGGCCCCCCCCCCCCACAUGUGUGUCUCUCUUCAGCCCCAGGACUUUCUCCUAAGCCUCAGAGAGUAGCUUUGUCCAGGCACACACAGCCCUGGAAUGGGGAGCCUCAACCAAGGGGAGCUGGAAGUCAGCGGGAACUGCCCAGCUUUCGGCCCCUGGGAGAGAGGACUAUGAGGCGUAUUCCCUCCUCAGAAGACCCCCAGCAGAGCUGAGCCCAGCAGUAACCAACCCGAUAACAUAGUCCAUGUUGACUUUCUUCCCUUUUGGUCUUCUCCUAUCUGUUUCCCAAUUACUUUCCUGCAAUUACUUUCCAUGGACGCUACCUGCAUUCACACGUGUGUUUCAGGCUUUGCUUUCAAAAUAACUCAAAUUAAAACAGACACCACCCCAGUGUCCUUGAGGUCAGGCCUAUGUACAUGUGAACAAAAUGACCAGUGGGCCAGGUCACUUCUGCUCAUUCUCCAUCCAUCAAUGAAGUGGAAGAGAAGGUCAGUCAGUGGUUAUUUGAAUACACAACAGGCCCAGUUAUUUGAAUGAAUGGUGGUCUUGUCUUUAUUUUUAAUGCAAUGGGAGGAUGAGUGUUGCUUCCUCUGAGUAGUUUUCCUCCCUGCAUGCGUCCCAUUGGAUUUGAGAUGUGCUUCGGGAAUCUCUUACUCAGGACCUCCCCUUUCACUCAGCUUCCACCAUCUCUCCCUGAAAGGCUCCAGCUAUCCCAGUCAGUGGCCAGAACUCUCUGAGAACAGUAAAGGGUGUCUGACAUCUCUCUGACACCAGCCUCUCUUCAUUGAGCACUGCCCCAAACGGCAGCUUCACUCCUGCAGCUGCUGGUUCUUCUGCUGGAAACAGAAGGCUGUCACAGUACUGCUGCUCCUCUGGCCAGUGGAAGGCACAGCCAUCCCAUUAGAAAGCACAGAAGUGGUAGAGCCGUGCCAAGGUGAUCCUUAAACUCAACCAAGUGCCCCAGAAGUAGGUAACACCAGCCAUGAGUGGAAGUCAGCAAAUGUAGUCUUCCCCAAAGAUAAUACCAUAAUGAUAGUAUUAAAAUGGAUGUUGCCUGGAGGAAAAUUCAUUUAAAUGUUUUUCUGGCUUUAUUGAGGCAUUAUUUACAUAUAAUAAAACUCAGGCAUUUAAAAUACACACACGGUACAGUUAACUCACACUGUAGUGCCUAGUGUGGUGAGAUUUGGUUAUUUUACAGAGCAGCCAUCACCACAACCAAGAUCUGGAACAUUUUUAUCGCCCUAGAAAUUUCCUUGAGUCCCUUUGUAGCCGAUCCCCUCUCCUGGCCCCAGCCCCUGGCAACUGUUAAGGACCUUUAUGCCGCUAUAGCUUUGCCUUUUCUAGACUUUCACGUAAAUGGAAUCAAGCGAUAUCUAAUGCUGUGUGUUUGACUCCUUCACCGAGCAGACUGGUUUUGCACUCCAUUCAUCUGUGGCUUGUGUUAAAGCUGUGUUCCUUUCUACUGCUCAGUAGUUUCACUGUAUAGAUAUCCCGACUUUAUUCAUUUAGCAGCUGAUGGGCACCUGAGUUCUUUCCAGUUCUUGCUUAUUUGAAUAGUGCUGCCAUGAACGUUGGCAUUUGAGUCUUUGCAUAAACUUAGCAGACAUUUCUCUUGGGUAAAUAUCUGGAUGUGGAUUUCUGGGUCAUGAUUAAGUACCUACGGCCACACAGUUUUCCAAAGUGGUUGCGCCAGUUUGCCGGUAGUAUAGAAGAGUUCCUGUGGCUCCUCCUCCUCAUUAACACGUGAUAUACUCAAAUUUUUUUUUUAA
This is a long non-coding RNA of Piliocolobus tephrosceles (Ugandan red Colobus), 2654 nucleotides long. RefSeq lists it as uncharacterized. The transcript has 3 exons. The record is from RefSeq and is a predicted model, not a curated record. NCBI's taxonomy places the organism in Eukaryota, Metazoa, Chordata, Mammalia, Primates, Cercopithecidae.